AGUCGAGCGGCAGCACAGAGAAACUUGUUUCUCGGGUGGCGAGCGGCGGACGGGUGAGUAAUGCCUGGGAAAUUGCCCUGAUGUGGGGGAUAACCAUUGGAAACGAUGGCUAAUACCGCAUGAUGCCUACGGGUCAAAGAGGGGGACCUUCGGGCCUCUCGCGUCAGGAUAUGCCCAGGUGGGAUUAGCUAGUUGGUGAGGUAAGGGCUCACCAAGGCGACGAUCCCUAGCUGGUCUGAGAGGAUGAUCAGCCACACUGGAACUGAGACACGGUCCAGACUCCUACGGGAGGCAGCAGUGGGGAAUAUUGCACAAUGGGCGCAAGCCUGAUGCAGCCAUGCCGCGUGUGUGAAGAAGGCCUUCGGGUUGUAAAGCACUUUCAGUUGUGAGGAAGGUGGUGUCGUUAAUAGCGGCAUCAUUUGACGUUAGCAACAGAAGAAGCACCGGCUAACUCCGUGCCA
Molecule: ribosomal RNA, 461 nt
Filed under: Vibrio vulnificus
Lineage: Bacteria; Pseudomonadati; Pseudomonadota; Gammaproteobacteria; Vibrionales; Vibrionaceae
Description: bacterial SSU rRNA
Rfam family: Bacterial small subunit ribosomal RNA
Source: RNAcentral